AUUGAACGCUGGCGGCAGGCCUAACACAUGCAAGUCGAGCGGAUGAAGGGAGCUUGCUCCUGGAUUCAGCGGCGGACGGGUGAGUAAUGCCUAGGAAUCUGCCUGGUAGUGGGGGAUAACGUCCGGAAACGGGCGCUAAUACCGCAUACGUCCUGAGGGAGAAAGUGGGGGAUCUUCGGACCUCACGCUAUCAGAUGAACCUAGGUCGGAUUAGCUAGUUGGUGGGGUAAAGGCCUACCAAGGCGACGAUCCGUAACUGGUCUGAGAGGAUGAUCAGUCACACUGGAACUGAGACACGGUCCAGACUCCUGCGGGAGGCAGCAGUGGGGAAUAUUGGACAAUGGGCGAAAGCCUGAUCCAGCCAUGCCGCGUGUGUGAAGAAGGUCUUCGGAUUGUAAAGCACUUUAAGUUGGGAGGAAGGGCAGUAAGUUAAUACCUUGCUGUUUUGACGUUACCAACAGAAUAAGCACCGGCUAACUUCGUG
RNAcentral lists this ribosomal RNA (484 nucleotides) under uncultured bacterium. RNAcentral's name for it is "partial 16S ribosomal RNA". It matches the Rfam family "Bacterial small subunit ribosomal RNA", at positions 30 to 507 of the family's 1533-position model. The record is from RNAcentral.